CUUACACAUUUUUUUUGGCAUUCUGUCCACCUCCUCCACCCUUAGUUUACUUGAUCGAUCUCAUCACUAAUUUGCGACCGGAGGUGGACAAACUGUCAACAGAGUUGUGUUGG
Molecule: microRNA precursor, 113 nt
Filed under: Medicago truncatula (barrel medic)
Lineage: Eukaryota; Viridiplantae; Streptophyta; Magnoliopsida; Fabales; Fabaceae
Description: MIR394 microRNA precursor family
Rfam family: MIR394 microRNA precursor family
Source: Rfam by way of RNAcentral